AAGAUUAACAGACAAAAAAAAAAAAAAAAGUGCACACAGAAACAAAAAAACAAGUGGCUGCUGCAAGAUUGUCACAAAAAAUUGAACUGAUUCAGAUGGGAGUUUCCAUGACCUCACCAAAGACUGAUGAAGGGGAAUGGGUUCCACAUCACUCCUCCUUCCCAACCAGAAUCUUCCCAUUGUCAAAGUCACAAGUAAUACAAAACAAAGACCUAAGACACACAUACAAUGACCACUCUGGAAAUACAGAUGGCCGGGAGGGCAGGUCUUUUCUCCAAUCCAGGAGAUUCACCGAAUCCUCACUGGCACCCAGACGGGAAUCUCCCAGGCAUCUCUGGGGUCCCUUCUCACCUCCUGGGACGUCUCCCAGGGCAGUGCAAUCAGUGAGCCCCUGGCACAUCUACCACUCACUUUCAUGUCUCUCCUGAGACACGAGCCUACCUCUCAGCCCGAGAUGGGAGCAACUGUAAAACUAGAACUCCCGAACUCGCGAGCAAAUACAGACCCAGAGUAGCAAAUACAGACUCAGAGUUUAGCC
RNAcentral lists this long non-coding RNA (538 nucleotides) under Rattus norvegicus (Norway rat). Its description in RNAcentral is "long non-coding RNA NONRATT027387". The record is from RNAcentral. Lineage: Eukaryota; Metazoa; Chordata; Mammalia; Rodentia; Muridae.